Molecule: ribosomal RNA, 644 nt
Filed under: Actinomycetales bacterium A315
Lineage: Bacteria; Bacillati; Actinomycetota; Actinomycetes; Actinomycetales
Description: bacterial SSU rRNA
Rfam family: Bacterial small subunit ribosomal RNA
Source: RNAcentral
UCAUGCGGCAGCUACCAUGCAGUCGACGAUGAACCGCUUCGGUGGUGGAUUAGUGGCGAACGGGUGAGUAACACGUGGGCAAUCUGCCCUUCACUCUGGGACAAGCCCUGGAAACGGGGUCUAAUACCGGAUAACACUCUGUCCCGCAUGGGACGGGGUUGAAAGCUCCGGCGGUGAAGGAUGAGCCCGCGGCCUAUCAGCUUGUUGGUGGGGUAAUGGCCUACCAAGGCGACGACGGGUAGCCGGCCUGAGAGGGCGACCGGCCACACUGGGACUGAGACACGGCCCAGACUCCUACGGGAGGCAGCAGUGGGGAAUAUUGCACAAUGGGCGAAAGCCUGAUGCAGCGACGCCGCGUGAGGGAUGACGGCCUUCGGGUUGUAAACCUCUUUCAGCAGGGAAGAAGCGAAAGUGACGGUACCUGCAGAAGAAGCGCCGGCUAACUACGUGCCAGCAGCCGCGGUAAUACGUAGGGCGCAAGCGUUGUCCGGAAUUAUUGGGCGUAAAGAGCUCGUAGGCGGCUUGUCACGUCGGAUGUGAAAGCCCGGGGCUUAACCCCGGGUCUGCAUUCGAUACGGGCUAGCUAGAGUGUGGUAGGGGAGAUCGGAAUUCCUGGUGUAGCGGUGAAAUGCGCAGAUAUAGGG